Molecule: non-coding RNA, 708 nt
Organism: Vicugna pacos (alpaca)
Lineage: Eukaryota; Metazoa; Chordata; Mammalia; Artiodactyla; Camelidae
Source: RefSeq, a predicted model, not a curated record
GGGGAGGAGCAGUGCGUGCGCCCGGUGAACCCCGCGCGCCGCCUCCUUUCCGGUCCUAGUGCGGUGACCGGCCCCACUGGGCCAACAGGGGCGUGGAUGGGAGGAAGGCCUGGCCCUUCGGAGCCUCUCAGUGGGAUAUGAAGAGACGCAAGAAUCUGGGCUCAUAAAGUCUUCUCCCAAAACUGCCUAUCUGAAGGCCUGUGCUGCCAGUUUUCUCAGAGCACAGAGCGCUUCGUUCCUAUCUCCACCCUGAACUCCUUUCAGGGAGUGUUGGAAGAAGUAAGCAACAUGAAUAUACUAUGAAGUGAGAAAUAAAAUUGAGUCACUUAUGUCAAGGGGCUUUAAAAUGGAGCUGGAAAGCCAUUAGAGAGAUGGACCUUAUGCACUUCCUCACCAGGUGGAACCACUAACUUUUGAACUGGGCCAAACCGCAAAUAUGUCAAGGACUUUGCAAAAACACCUGCAACUUGCCACAGUAACGGACUUUCCCCUCCCUCUAGUGAUGGCCUUGGCGAUCAAUCACGUUCAGCCAAGACUAGCUCCUGCCUCCAGCUCCAGUUAUAAUCCUCUGUACGGCAGCCCUGCCUCCUGCCUUUCCAGCCCCUGGCCUCUCUUACUCCCUAGUGGGAUGCUGGGUUGCCACCCAAAUCUGUGUGCCCCAAAUUGCAAAUCCUUUGAUCCCCAGUAAACUCUUUUGGUUUGAUUGUU